GAUGAACGCUGGCGGCGUGCCUAAUACAUGCAAGUCGAGCGAACAGACGAGGAGCUUGCUCCUCUGACGUUAGCGGCGGACGGGUGAGUAACACGUGGAUAACCUACCUAUAAGACUGGGAUAACUUCGGGAAACCGGAGCUAAUACCGGAUAAUAUAUUUAACCGCAUGGUUCAAUAGUGAAAGACGGUUUUGCUGUCACUUAUAGAUGGAUCCGCGCCGCAUUAGCUAGUUGGUAAGGUAACGGCUUACCAAGGCAACGAUGCGUAGCCGACCUGAGAGGGUGAUCGGCCACACUGGAACUGAGACACGGUCCAGACUCCUACGGGAGGCAGCAGUAGGGAACCUUCCGCAAUGGGCGAAAGCCUGACGGAGCAACGCCGCGUGAGUGAUGAAGGUCUUCGGAUCGUAAAACUCUGUUAUUAGGGAAGAACAAAUGUGUAAGUAACUAUGCACGUCUUGACGGUACCUAAUCAGAAAGCCACGGCUAACUACGUG
This 497-nucleotide ribosomal RNA is filed under the name uncultured bacterium. RNAcentral's name for it is "partial 16S ribosomal RNA". It matches the Rfam family "Bacterial small subunit ribosomal RNA", at positions 28 to 507 of the family's 1533-position model. The record is from RNAcentral.